GCCGCAGUGACGGCGAGUGAAGCGGCAACAGCUCAAAUUUGAAAUCUGGCUUCGGCCCGAGUUGUAAUUUGUAGAGGAUGCUUUUGGCGAGGUGCCUUCUGAGUUCCCUGGAACGGGACGCCAGAGAGGGUGAGAGCCCCGUAUAGUCGGACACCUAGCCCUGUAAAGCUCCUUCGACGAGUCGAGUAGUUUGGGAAUGCUGCUCAAAAUGGGAGGUAUAUCUCUUCUAAAGCUAAAUAUAGGCCAGAGACCGAUAGCGCACAAGUAGAGUGAUCGAAAGAUGAAAAGCACUUUGAAAAGAGGGUUAAAUAGCACGUGAAAUUGUUGAAAGGGAAGCGCUUGUGACCAGACUUGUGCCGGGCUGAUCAUCCAGUGUUCUCACUGGUGCACUCGACCCGGCUCAGGCCAGCGUCGGUUCUCGCGGGGGGAUAAAAGCGCCGGGAACGUGGCUCCUCCGGGAGUGUUAUAGCCCGGCGUUUAAUACCCUCGCGGGGACCGAGGUUCGCGCUCUGCAAGGACGCUGGCAUAAUGGUCAUCAGCGACCCGUCUUGAAACACGGACCAAGGAGUCGAGGUUUUGCGCGAGUGUUUGGGUGUAAAACCCGCACGCGUAAUGAAAGUGAACGUAGGUGAGAGUUCGGCGCAUCAUCGACCGAUCCUGAUGUAUUCGGAUGGAUUUGAGUAAGAGCGUAAAGCCUCGGACCCGAAAGAUGGUGAACUAUGCCUGAAUAGGGUGAAGCCAGAGGAAACUCUGGUGGAGGCUCGCAGCGGUUCUGACGUGCAAAUCGAUCGUCAAAUUUGGGCAUGGGGGCGAAAGACUAAUCGAACCAUCUAGUAGCUGGUUACCGCCGAAG
Molecule: ribosomal RNA, 853 nt
Filed under: uncultured fungus
Lineage: Eukaryota; Fungi
Description: LSU rRNA
Rfam family: Eukaryotic large subunit ribosomal RNA
Source: RNAcentral